CCUACGGGUGGCAGCAGUGGGGAAUAUUGGACAAUGGGCGCAAGCCUGAUCCAGCAAUACCGCGUGUGUGAAGAAGGCCUGAGGGUUGUAAAGCACUUUUAAUCGGGAGGAAUAGCGGUCGGUUGAUACCCGGUCGUCUGACAUUACCGAUAGAAAAAGCACCGGCUAACUCCGUGCCAGCAGCCGCGGUAAUACGGAGGGUGAAAGCGUUAAUCGGAAUUACUGUGCGUAAAGCGUUAAUACAGGGUUGAAAGCCCCGGGCUUAACCUGGGAACGGCAUUUGAAACUGAUCGACUGGAGUUGGGUAGAGGGGAGUGGAAUUUCAGGUGUAGCGGUGAAAUGCGUAGAUAUCUGAAGGAACACCAGUGGCGAAGGCGGCUCCCUGGACCCAAACUGACGCUGAGGCACGAAAGCGUGGGUAGCAAACAGGAUUAGAUACCCGAGUAGUC
Molecule: ribosomal RNA, 449 nt
Filed under: uncultured bacterium
Lineage: Bacteria
Description: partial 16S ribosomal RNA
Rfam family: Bacterial small subunit ribosomal RNA
Source: RNAcentral